RNA transcript from Motacilla alba alba, 3748 nucleotides. RefSeq lists it as uncharacterized. The record is from RefSeq and is a predicted model, not a curated record. The transcript has 18 exons. NCBI's taxonomy places the organism in Eukaryota, Metazoa, Chordata, Aves, Passeriformes, Motacillidae.
CUGUUGUUCUUGCCUCCCUUCCCUCCAGGCGAGCGGCAGCCCCCGGCUGCGGCCGGCGGGAGUGCUGCCCCCUGUGGACACAGCGCGGCACUGCAGCCCCCCCGAGCCAGCGCCCCGCCCCUCGCAGCUGGGCGCCGGGGGGGCGGGGGAAGGACGGCUGCCGAGGGAGGGGAGGGCGAGGGGCGGGAGAAGCGAGCGGCGAGCGGGGCGGUGUCUGUAAAUAGCGGGGAGGGGCGAAGGUGUUUCAGAAGCGUAAAGAGACGCCGUGGCUGAGGCAGGCUCUGCGACGACGGCGUCGGCCUCCGAGCGCAGCCGAAGCGUGCGCCCCGAGGAGCCCGGCAUUCUUAGGAGAAUGGUUGGAGGAGGAGCGCAACUUCCGGAAAAUCCAGAUCGUGUCAAGUGCAACACUUUUUGUGGCAGAUUCAUCACAUCACAAAAGGGAUCCGCCCAGUGUCAAAGAUGGUGCUUGAGAUUGAGACUACAAUUAAGUUGAGGAUUGUGACUAGGAGCAGGAGGGUGCCACAGCCUUGGACUCAGGAUAAAGCUGGAGACUCGAGGACCCAGGCACACUCAGGAGAGUUUGACCAAGAGGCUGACAGCGAUCACAGGGCCCUCUGAGGCAGACUCAUUUCAGGUCCAAUGUGGAUUCACCUCACCGGUCAUCCAAAAGAUAAGUUGGGGGGCCACAGCCUGGAGAUGGGAUGAUAGGAGAGUAGUGGCUUGGAAAUUCCUAGACAGAUUUAAAAAUUUGCAGAGGGUGAAGAGAUGUCCUCUAAGGGGCCCCGUGGAACAGCUAAAGGGAGAGGCUCUGCUUUCGAUUGCAGCUGUAGGGUAUGCGGUGCAGAACAGUUCCGGUCUGUGUUGUGUUGUUCGGUGUCCUGUGUUACCUAGUGUGUCUUUGGGGUCCCUUGGAUCCAAUAUCUCUGCCUUCUCCCCUCGAGGCCCUUAGCAAAACCAUCAGCUGUCGUGUCUAGGUUCUCAAACGCUGGCGCUUCUCAGCAGGAUGCCAAUAUCAUUUGUUCUUUUACCGGCGGGCUCAGCCGCAUCUCGAGUCACAUCUCCGAAGCAUCGAGUCAGACGUCUUUUGAGGCCUGGUUCCCGGCUGUAUCAGCAUCCAUCCUUUCCAGCCGUGAGCUGUAAAGUCCUGGGGCACGUAAGAUUGCACGAUAUGGAGAACAUUCUAAACGUAGCAUUGUCUCACAGCCGCCUUGAUCAUCGUGACCAACAGGUCUUAUAACAGGUCACUCUGUUCCAGUCUUCUGCUCCUUAGAGGAGCUGUCUCCAUCCACUGUCCCCUGAGCAUCAGUCAUCUCUUUUGGCAUCCUCGUGGUCCUUGCCACUACUUAUUCUUGCCAGGAACUCUUUUCUCAUCAUUGUGUCACAAUUUGUAGUAUAAAGUGAUGUUUGUGUUUAGGGACCCCAUUGUUUGUCACGUCCCGUCCUGUGUCACGGGUGUCUGCACAUAUUUGUGCCGGAGCUGCUCUGCCCCGCUGCGUAGCCUGGUGCGAUAGGACCAGUCCCGGGGACUUGAACUUUGUAGCGUGGGCUGUAGUUGGACUCUAGGUGGUAUUCCUAGAUUGACACAAGAUGUUUGGAGCUGUGAAGGUAUCCUGCAGCCCUUUGACUUUUGUUCUAACUUUCUUUCAGAUGCAGAAGGAUAGAAUCCAUGGCGGAGCGCCCCAUUCCGGGUGCAGAGGUUCGGCCGAGCAGGAAGUCAAGCCGGAUAGCAGCAAUCAAGUUGAAGAGGGCAAGGCAGUCCACUCGGAGUGGCACCCGGGUAGCCUUUGGCAAUGGCGGAGGAGUUGCAGCGGACCCUGCGACGACAGCGUGGCCUCCGAGCACGGCGCAAUCGUGCCGCCCGAGGACCCGGGCAUUCUUAGGAGAGCGGAGACUACGAGACAACAGCCCAGUGACAGCAGGAACUUCCCAGAUGGCGAGGCGGCCUUGCUUUGCACCUGACACGGACCGGGUUCCCCAGAUGUCAGAGGUGCUGAUGCAUUAUAUCCUUGUCAGAGCGCCCCAUCCUGGGCUUGUGGGUUCCCCUGAGCAGGAAGUCAAGCCAGAGAGCAGCAGUCAAGGCCAAGUGGGCAAGGCAAUUGACUUUGCAUAUGUCCAGCCACCGCCACCAGCCAGCCCAUGCACCGGGUUUCCUGCACAUGUGGGCCUUGUGGAAGUAUUACAGGACUCUGCGAUGAAGCCUUUAAAUUUUCUCAUUCACCGUCCUAUCUCGGCAGACCCUGCGACAACGGCGUCAGCCUCCGAGCACGGCCAAAGCGUGCGGCCCGAGGUCCUGGGCAUUCUUAAGAAUGCACCCCAUCCCAGGCUCGUGGGUUCCCCUGAGCAGGAAGUCAAGGCAGAUAGCAGCAGUCAAGGCCAAGUGGGCAAGGCAAUUGACUCGGCAGAUGUCCAGCCCCCGUCACGCACUGGCCAAUGCACCGGGUUUCCUGCACAUGUGGGCCUUGUGGAAGUAUUACAGGACUCUGCGAUGAAGCCUUUAAAUUUUCUCAUUCACCAUCCUAUCUGGGUAGCCAUCAGGGCCAGCCAAGGAGUUGUGGUGAGUCGGGGAGGUUGGGAGCAGCAGCGAGGGUCCUUUCAGGUUUCAGCAAUGCCAAAUCAAGUUGUCUCCGCUUAAUCUAGGCAGACAAUGGUGUCUUAAUCCUGUGACAAUGGCGUCAGCCUCCGAGCACGGCCAAAGCGUGCGGCCCGAGGACCUGGGCAUUCUUAAGAAUGUGAGUAAGAUACAACAGCCCGGUGCCAGCAGGGACCGCUCAGAUGGCGAGGCUGCUUUCUUUUGCACCUGACACAGAUUGGCAUGCCCACCUGUCUGAGAGAUGAGUAGAGGGCUGCGACCCGCAGAGGGGAUGAAAGUGGGUUGCUGGGCUGGGACUCACCGGGAGGGAUUUUUGAGUCUGCUUUGGAGACGGAUGUGGAAGAAGUGGCCCCUUAGGCCAUGAAAAGGGAAAGUGUCACUUUUGAUCACAGUGCUGAGGUGCUCAGGGCAGAGCAGUCCCGGUGUGUCUCGUGUCACUUGUCCGUCGUGCAUUAUGUGUUGUUUGGGUAUCCCAUGUCACAGGUCUUUUUCCUUAGCCCUUUGAGGGGCCUGUCAGAAACCCAUGCAUCAUUCUUAGCAUCUGUGAUCUCUGCAUUCCUUGGCCUGGCAUUGAUGCCAUAGAACUUUUGACUCGGGAGCUCAGACAGGCAUCAGAACUGCCACUCUUUUUAGAAGCAUCCGGUCAGAUGUCUUUUCAGGUCUUGUUCUGAGCUGUAUGGACAGGCCCCACAAGGAUCCAUUGCGGCAGAUUAGGAGUCGUGAGGAUUGGUAGAGGAUUCUGACCGUAGGAUUCACAGGCAUCCAUCUUUGCAGCUUCUUGGAAUACAUCAUUCAGUUAGCAUCUUCUUCCUCCAGGGUUCUCUGAGCCUCAUCAGCUCGCCAUCGCUCUCGACUCGGUCAUCUCAUAUUGCAUUCUUUUGGUCCUUGCAGUCAUCCUUCUUGCCAAGAGAUUUCUAUCCCUGUUAUGUCCCCAUUGUUUGUCACGUCCCGUCCUGUGUCACGGGUGUGUGCACGUAUUUGUGCCGGAGCCGCUCUGCCCUGCUGCGUAGCGUGGUGCGAUAGGACAAGUCCCAGGGACUUGAGAUUUGUAAGGCGGGGUGUAGUCAGGCUCUAGAUGGUAUUCCUAGUUUGACACAGGAUGUUUGGAGCUGUGAAGUUUUCCUGCUGCCCUUUGACUUGUCUUAACUUUCUUUCAGA